AUUGAACGCUGGCGGCAGGCCUAACACAUGCAAGUCGAGCGGAUGAAGGGAGCUUGCUCCUGGAUUCAGCGGCGGACGGGUGAGUAAUGCCUAGGAAUCUGCCUGGUAGUGGGGGAUAACGUCCGGAAACGGGCGCUAAUACCGCAUACGUCCUGAGGGAGAAAGUGGGGGAUCUUCGGACCUCACGCUAUCAGAUGAGCCUAGGUCGGAUUAGCUAGUUGGUGGGGUAAAGGCCUACCAAGGCGACGAUCCGUAACUGGACUGAGAGGAUGAUCAGUCACACUGGAACUGAGACACGGUCCAGACUCCUACGGGAGGCAGCAGUGGGGAAUAGUGGACAAUGGGCGGAAGCCUGAUCCAGCCAGGCCGCGUGUGUGGAGAAGGUCUUCGGAUUGUAAAGCACUUUAAGUUGGGAGGAAGGGCAGUAAGUUAAUACCUUGCUGUUUUGACGUUACCAACAGAAUAAGCACCGGCUAACUUCGUG
RNAcentral lists this ribosomal RNA (484 nucleotides) under uncultured bacterium. RNAcentral describes it as "partial 16S ribosomal RNA". It matches the Rfam family "Bacterial small subunit ribosomal RNA", at positions 30 to 507 of the family's 1533-position model. The record is from RNAcentral.